GAUGAACGCUGGCGGCAGGCUUAACACAUGCAAGUCGAGCGGGGGAAGGUAGCUUGCUACCGGACCUAGCGGCGGACGGGUGAGUAAUGCUUAGGAAUCUGCCUAUUAGUGGGGGACAACAUCUCGAAAGGGAUGCUAAUACCGCAUACGUCCUACGGGAGAAAGCAGGGGAUCUUCGGACCUUGCGCUAAUAGAUGAGCCUAAGUCGGAUUAGCUAGUUGGUGGGGUAAAGGCCUACCAAGGCGACGAUCUGUAGCGGGUCUGAGAGGAUGAUCCGCCACACUGGGACUGAAACACGGCCCAGACUCCUACGGGAGGCAGCAGUGGGGAAUAUUGGACAAUGGGGGGAACCCUGAUCCAGCCAUGCCGCGUGUGUGAAGAAGGCCUUAUGGUUGUAAAGCACUUUAAGCGAGGAGGAGGCUACUCUAGUUAAUACCUAGGGAUAGUGGACGUUACUCGCAGAAUAAGCACCGGCUAACUCUGUGCCAGCCGCCGCCGUAA
RNAcentral lists this ribosomal RNA (501 nucleotides) under uncultured bacterium. Its description in RNAcentral is "partial 16S ribosomal RNA". It matches the Rfam family "Bacterial small subunit ribosomal RNA", at positions 28 to 523 of the family's 1533-position model. The record is from RNAcentral.